AUUAUAAAUUUAAUUAUUAUUAUUGAUUUUUUAAAGUAUUAUUUUAUUUAUUAUUAUAAAAGAAAAAUUAAUUUUUUAUUAUAGUUUACUAGUAAAGUGAUUGAAUUUAUUUAUAUAUUAAUAAGAAAAAUUUAUUUUUUGUACCUUGUGUAUCAGGGUUGAUUAAUUUUAUAAUUAUUAUUAAUUUUUCUCGAAUUAAGAAGAGCUAAUUAUGUAUAUGUUUAAUUUUUUCAUAAAUUUUCAUAAUAUAUAAUUUGAAAUGAAAUGUUAUUCGUUUCUUAAUAUAUCUAGUUUUUUAAGAAAAGAAUUUAAUUCUCUUAUUAUUUAUUAUUAGUUAAUUUUUAGUUAAUAAUUUUUAGUAUGAAAUAAAUAAAGGGAUAAGCUUUUAUUUUAAUAAUUAAAAAUUUAUUUGGUUUUAUUUUUUGUAUAAUUUAAAUUGUUAAUCAUUUUUAUAAUAUAAUAGUUAAUUUUAUUUAAUUAAUGAUUUAUAUUUAUUUUAGUUUUUUUAUUAAAAAUUUAUGUUUAAUUUUUUAGCUUUUUUAUAAUGAUUAAAUUAGUAGAUAAAUAUGUAUUUUAUUAUUUAUUUUUAAGAUAAUAAAAAGGAACUUGGCAAAUAAAUUUUUCGCCUGUUUAUUAAAAACAUGUCUUUUUGAUUAUAAUUUAAGGUUUAAUCUGCUCAAUGAUUUAUUCAAUUGCCGCAGUAUUUUGACUGUGCAAAGGUAGCAUAAUAAUUAGCUUUUUUAUUGAGAGCUGGAAUGAAUGAUUGGACGAAAAAAUUUCUGUCUCUUUAUUAUUUAUUAUUUAAUUUUACUUUUAAGUUAAAAGGCUUAAAUUUUUUUAAAAGACGAGAAGACCCUAUAGAGUUUUAUUUUUAUUUUUUGAUUAAUUUUUAGAAUUUAAAAUAUUUUAUCGAAUAAAAAAUUUGGUUGGGGUGACUGAAAGAUUAAUUAAACUCUUUUAAUUGAAAUCAUUUAUUUAUGAAUAGAGAAAUUAUUUUUAUAAAUUUAAAAUAAAUUACCUUAGGGAUAACAGCGUUAUUUUUCUUUAGAGUUCUUAUUGAAAGGAAAGAUUGCGACCUCGAUGUUGGAUUAAAAUUUAUUUUUGGUGUAGAAGCUUAAAUAUUAAGUCUGUUCGACUUUUAAAAUUUUACAUGAUCUGAGUUUAAACCGGUGUAAGCCAGGUUGGUUUCUAUCUUUAAAUUUUUAAUAUAUUUUAGUACGAAAGGACCAAAUAUAUAAUAUAUUAUUUUAUUUUGAAUAAUAUU
Molecule: ribosomal RNA, 1264 nt
Filed under: Abscondita chinensis
Lineage: Eukaryota; Metazoa; Arthropoda; Insecta; Coleoptera; Lampyridae
Description: 16S ribosomal RNA
Rfam family: Archaeal large subunit ribosomal RNA (bases 1025-1183)
Source: RNAcentral